AGGAGUACCAUCCCUAGGAAAUUAACUUAGGGCUAUAUAAACGUGCGGAGGAAUACCCGUACUGAGCUGUCACCAUCAGCGGCCCACCUCGCUUCCGCAACAUAUAACCCCAAAUAAUGAUAUCCAGCAAUCUAAAUAUCAUGCUUAAAUUAGCAAAUACUACUCUAAUAUCAUCGUCAUGACAUAGUCAUCGUAAAUACGAUCAUUAUACCCACACCAUUGCAUCUCCCAGAUAAGCUAGCAUCAUAAUGAAUAUAACUUGGAUAUAUAAUAAAGUUGGUAUUCAUAUACUUGGAAAGUAGUACAAUACCAAAGUAGUAUAAAGAAGAAUAUUCUAAAUAAACUACAAGUCUUACAGAAGAAGGAAAAGCUACUAGAGCCAUACCCGAAUUCUUCCGAAGACUCCGAGGACUGAAGAUUCUAUUCUAUUUAUAUUCCACUAUACUCUAAAGACUAUACUAAACUUGAGAGAUGAAUGAAAGAUGAAUGAAACUUCUUGCUUAAGGUGUGUGGAAGAAGUGAGGAGGUGAAGGCCUUUUAUAGCUCUCCAAUGACGGUUAUGACGGUUGGAAUGGUCAGAAUUGCUCUCCCACCGUCAUUGGGGAGUAAUCUAAGUCGUCCAGAAGAAGCCCUGCAUCCAACAGCGCCACAGCAGGUUCGGCCGAACCAUGGGCUGGGCCGGCCUGGCCCAAAUUCGGCAGGUGUCCUCUUUUGCUCCUCUCUGCAGACUUGUGAAUUUUGGCCCAAUUGGUCGUGUCAUUUCUGAGUUCUUGGCCCCUAGAUAAAUCUGAUUCUCGACAUCAUCUGAUUGAUUGAUCGUCUAUUUUGAUGUCGAUUCUCCUCCAUUUUAUGUUCAUUCUCUACAAGAGUAUUAACGGGCGAAACUGAUCGCUAACGACCGUCAACAACGGGCGAGCGCCGAGAUCGGGGAAUCAAAACCUCUCCCCGGCCGCUGCUCGAGGGUGAGUGCACCACCGUCGAGUGGCCGUGGACUUCCCACACGGAGUCGACAACGACCGGUGGUGGUGUGCACGCACCGACGAGGGGGUGUGGACUUCCCACACAGUGUCGGCGACGACCGGCGGUGGCAGAGGUUUGUAGUCUCUGUCAUCGAGCCCAUGGUCCCUUGCAUCGCUCAUCCAUCGGAAAAGCAAAAAGGAAAAUGCGUCGGUCGCUUGAGCAUCGCGCUCGUCCUCCCGCCGGCGUCGCGUGUGGAUCGGGAGUCCUCCCAACGACGGUGAACACUCCAGCCCCUCUCUGUGCGUUCAUCUAUUUGUGUUGUGUAGUAUCAGGAACCAAUAAUUUGAAUCUGUCAGUUAUCGGGCUCAGUGUUGUCUUAGUUUAUCUGCUCUUGAGCCAGGAGAUAAACCAUUAAUCUUUCAGGUGAUUUUUUUCUCUCUGGGUCAGUGUUGUCUCAAGUUUUUUUUUUUUAAUGAUCAUUCUCUAGCAAAGUCUGACCGGUAAGUCCUCAAAAUUCACUUCCAAACCGUGUACAGUGGAGUACUGUCAAUUUCAGACACCAAACAGUAGCUCAAACACUUUGGUACACAACUACUGGUUCAGGGUAUUUGGUUUUGAGGGGAGGUUUAGCGUCGGUGGUGUUGGGUGCGAACGGGGGAGCGGCGCGUUCGUGUUUGGGCAAUGAUGUCGAACGACUAAGAGAAGAGCUGCUAGGUUUAGUCAUUGAUAAGUGACUCUUAUAUCCCUCACGGGAUAAAAAUGUUUCUCCACGUUUCUACUUCCGCAAGCUGUGGUGGUAGUAGAAAUAAAUCUGAACCUUUCGAUUAAAUGAUAUCAACGAUUCAGAUUGCUUUCUACUAUAUAAGUAAAGAGUACUACGAUCUCUUUGAUUUUAGAAGAAGGUAUAACCGCCAUAAACUCACUAGAUUAACUUGCCGUUAAUGGGAACUGUUAUUUAGCAAAUGGGUGACCCUUAAUAUAAAAAUAGUAAUGCCAGAGAUAUUUGAGAGAUAAUUAAGACUCAUUUAAUACAAUCUUCAUUUGUAAAAAGAGUAAGUAAAGGAGU
Molecule: long non-coding RNA, 2026 nt
Organism: Oryza sativa Japonica Group (Japanese rice)
Lineage: Eukaryota; Viridiplantae; Streptophyta; Magnoliopsida; Poales; Poaceae
Source: RefSeq, a predicted model, not a curated record